AGGCAUUCUAGGGCAUGGCAGUAAAAAUACCAUUUCAUUACAACUAACGCUUCAGAUCCCUCUAAGGUGAGCUAUCCAGCAUGCAAACAGUUAAGAUGACUCUGAAAAAUGCAUAUUUGUAUGUUAUUUUUAUCCAAAACAGUGCCUAAAAAGACAAACACGCAUUUUUAUAUUUCUGUAUUUUACACACAUAUGUGUAUAAUAAAAAAUAUAUAUAUAGAGGUAUACAAUAUCCCAGUAGUCUUGCACUCAAUAAUUGAUAUAAUCUUAUGCCCAGUGCUUAAUCCAGCAGUAGACUGUAAAAAAAAAAUCCAAAAAGGAUAGCACUCAUGGGACUUCUUUUACAAUUUAAAAAAACUUGUAUUGACAAUUUGAAAAAGAGGUCACAGGAGUGCUAUCCGUUUUUGGAACUUUUAUAUGUACAGUAAAUGAGUGUAUGUAUAUGUGCAUAUAAAAUCAAGCACACUCACUGACUCCCUAAACACCAGCUUCAAAGCUCAUAUAAGUUUAAAAAAUACAAUAAAGAAAUGAUUUAGACACAAAUAAAGGGGAUUUAGUUACAGUAUACGAUCAUACAUUGCCUAACUCUGCCACAAUAAAAAAAAAAAAAACAGUUUUCAUUUUGUGAGCUUUGAAGCUGGUGUUUAGUGAGUGAGUGAUUGCACUGUCUUCCCCAGCAGCACCCAGCACCCUUAUAAUGUAUGCAUGUCACUUUCUGUGGUCUGGCUGAAUUUGCAAAGACCCCCAACGGUUACAUUGCCGCUGGGGGUUUGUUGGAGGGAGGGCAAGUAAAAAUGAGAUUUACUGACCCAAACGUGUCCCUCACAGGCGCUGCCAUCUUCCUCUUAAGCUCCCGUGCUUCUGCACCACGAACCUACGUCACUGCUGCACGAGAGUGAGGUCUUUAGAGGAUCCCAUGAGACCACGUGAUCCUACAAAGACAGAGCCAAUUCUUCAAGUUUUGUUGAUUUCACAAUAUUUUGGCCCAAUAUUUUGGUACAAGCUGUUUACAAAUCCCAAAACACUUACUUGAUUAUGUUCCACUUACUGUGUAUAUGUUGGUUUACAAUAAAAGGUCUCUUUUAGCCCUGUUUCAUGUUGGAAUGGGAUAAUUUUAAUGCUGUCCCCAGUUACACGUGGCCAUGAUCUAGAAAUGAGUUUCACAAAGCACUUAUCAGGAUUAAAGCAUCAUAGUACAUUGGUACUUAUUUUUUUUAUAGGUACAAUAUACACAGCUCCAUUGUUGUGUAUGGAAUGAGAAUCUUGUCAAUGUUAAUACAGUCUUUAUAUUGCUGCUUCUGUUUGGUUUUUUUUAAAAUCUUCUCUUUAAUUGUAUUUAUUUAUUUUAAUUACGAUGCUAUGUCUGUCAUUACCAUUACUAUCUUAAUGGACUUAAUCUUUAUUAUGUAUAAAUUUUUGUCACUACGGCAGCACCAUUCCUGCAAGAUGCAUGUUUGGGGUGUGCCCCAAUUCCUUUUUGUAAUUACUCUGCAUGUUUGGAAUCCAGACAAGAUUCCCUUAGGGGUUAAACACCCUGUCCAGGCCCCCAGCUUCAGUAGCCUCUUUGGAGGUGACCACAAGUAUAUAUUUGAGGAAGUUUUGGAUAGUAAUGCCAUGAGUAUAUACAUCAAAGCACUAUCACUUUAAUUAUUUAGUUUUGACACUGCAUCUUUUAAAAUUGUGUUUAUCACAUUAAUUUUGUCUUAUAUUUAUUCAUAGCGCUCUUACAACAGAUUAUUUAAAUACACUUUACAGUUAGCACUAGCACUUUUUAAUUUGUCUCCCACGUUGGAAUUAGUGUAGGAUCCCCCAAUAUUGGGAUACUGUUAAAUAGUUUUAGGCUUAACACAAUAUGGCCAUGUGGUGGAACUAAAUUUUCAUAUUUGUUUGCUGAGAUAGGCGAUUUUAAGUAGCCUUACUGAAUUCAGAAAUGUAUUUUUAUGUGUGGGCUGUUCCUUAAUAUAUGCUACCAUUACUAUAACAUGGAGACUCGACUGUUAAUUUCACUUUUUGCUUCUCAGUGAUGUUUUUUUACAGUAUAUUUUGUAUAUUUACAAAACAUGUAAAGCUUAAACAAAGUUCAGUAAUUGUAUUUACUCCCUACAUCGCUCUUCAAGACUUUCCCACCCCAUGCAAACAGUAAAUGUAUACAUUAUUUAUAAUCUAAUAUAUUUUACGGUCUCACUUUCAAAUUCAUUGUUUUCAAUCUCAUUAUCUGUUACAUUAGGUACUAGAGAAUGAAGAAAGAAAGACGCUAAUAAUCUAACACUUACUGUUCUAAAGAAAGCAGGCCUGGACAUGGAUGUUAAAAUACACUUACAAUAGCUGCCAGACUCAUCAGCAGCAGUUGGUUGUUGAGUCUCUGUGUUUGAAACAUCAUUACUUAAACAUUAUCUGGAAAAAUAAAUUGUGCUUCCUGCGAAGUGAAGAUUAAGCACUAUCUCCCUCUCUUUCUUCCUAAGAAUAUGUGAGAAUGGAGAGGCUUAUUUAUAACUGGGCCUGCAAAGCAGCACAUGGAGAGAUUAAAGAGCAGGCUGAUGUCACCAUGGGACAGAGAGGUUGCUAAAUCUGGAAGCGAUUCGAUGAGAGAGUGAGUGAUGCAACACGUGGUGUGAGAUGUCUUUGUUUACACAGAGCUGGAAAGACAUGCCUAGAUCCUUUGGCAAAGGAGGGAGCUUUACAUUUAACUGAGCUGUGCCCUUUUACACUUCACUGUGAUAUGUUGUAGUAUUCAAAGC
This 2738-nucleotide long non-coding RNA is filed under the name Pelobates cultripes (western spadefoot toad). The record is from RNAcentral. Lineage: Eukaryota; Metazoa; Chordata; Amphibia; Anura; Pelobatidae.